AACCCGCCUGCAUGAAGUCGGAAUUGCUAGUAAUCNCGGAUCAGCAUGCCGCGGUGAAUACGUUCCCGGGCCUUGUACACACCGCCCGUCACACCAUGGGAGCCGGUAAUACCCGAAGUCAGUAGUCCAACCUCGUGAGGACGCUGCCGAAGGUAGGAUUGGCGACUGGGGUGAAGUCGUAACAAGGUAAC
This 191-nucleotide ribosomal RNA is filed under the name uncultured bacterium. RNAcentral's name for it is "partial 16S ribosomal RNA". It matches the Rfam family "Bacterial small subunit ribosomal RNA", at positions 1309 to 1500 of the family's 1533-position model. The record is from RNAcentral.